Molecule: unclassified non-coding RNA, 271 nt
Filed under: uncultured fungus
Lineage: Eukaryota; Fungi
Description: partial contains small subunit ribosomal RNA, internal transcribed spacer 1, and 5.8S ribosomal RNA
Rfam family: Eukaryotic small subunit ribosomal RNA (bases 1-73)
Source: RNAcentral
GCAAACUUGGUCAUUUAGAGGAAGUAAAAGUCGUAACAAGGUUUCCGUAGGUGAACCUGCGGAAGGAUCAUUAAAAAUAUAUAUAUCCAUCAACCUACCUCUUUGUGUGCAACUAUUGAAAAUAGUCAAUCUUUGGGUGAUGGUAAUUUUCCAUCUCCCAAAGGUAAUUUAAAAAAAAAUAUAUUAUUUGACUAAAAAUUUAAUAUAUAAUAUAUAAUAUAAAACUUUCAACAACGGAUCUCUUGGCUCUCGCAUCGAUGAAGAACGCAGC